UGAAAUACAGAAAAUGCACACUUUGCUUCCUCAGAGUGACUUGACAUAUAAUAAAUAUGAAAGAAUAAGCAAUAAUUCCAAACCCCUGUGUUAAAGUGAAACCAGUACAAAAAUACAGACAGAUGAAGUUGUAGCCUAAUAAUUGUCUUUAUAUGGCAUGGGAUGUAUUGUGAGUUGCUCCUUACAUAAUGUAACAUAUUUUAAAUGAAAAAAACAAACUCUGGUAGUACCUUUCUACAUUUUUGACUGUUUUCAUGUGGAGGCACAUUAUGAGUAAUAACUCCAUGUUCUAUAGUCAGUAUUUUGUUCCUUAUAAGUAUGCACUUUAUAUUUUACCCACAAUAGUCUAAUAGGCCCUUUGUAUUUACACAUAUUCAUUAAGGGCUUUUAAUCUUUUUUUUUUUUAACAAAUCACUUGAAACAUCUAGCAUUGCUUUUUUAAAAUGUAUUUAUUUAUUUUUUUUUUUUUGUGCCCGAACAUGGAUGAGGACAUAUUUACUACUUUUUAAAUUAUGUUUAUUAUAAUUUGAAGGUUUCCUCUGUUACCUGCUCGAUGCUAUAGUCUUCAAUGUUCACCAGCUGGUUUCCAUUUCUAGUCACAGCCCAGAUAUCCGCCUUGAACAGAACAUCCUGAACUGAGAAGAUGCCCAGGUUCUGAAUCUGCACAAGAAGUAAAAAGUAAGCUGAUAACUAAUUAUUAGUCAACCCAGUGCUAUCUAACACAUCUGUGCAGUCAUAUUGUUAUAAUUCAAAUAAUUAUUGUUUCUAACAUUCCCCAUAAUUCUGGUCAGUGGGUUUUGAGGUAACCCUCAACAGAAUAAUAUACAAUGCCUGUAAAUAGCAUUCACCCCUCUUGGACACUUCUCCCUUUUAUUCCUUUUCAACAUUGAAUUGUGGUCAGUAUAUUUUGGCUUUUUUGACAAAAAUUUACAAAUAAAAGACCAUUUUAUCAUCAUCAUCAUAUCAAAGUCAAAACAGAUUUUUUCAAAGUAGUGCAAAUUAUUACACAAGUAUUCACCCCCUAUAAAGUGACUCACCUAAUAUAACACAGGUGCAGGCAAACAGUGUUAGAAGUCACACAAUUAGUGAAAUUGAGAUUAUGAGAGCAGGAUUGUGUCCCUAAUUUUGCAAUAUAAAGACACCUGUAUCUGGAAGGUGCAAUCCCUAGUGAAUCAGUAUUCCUCAUUAUAAGUACACCAUGAAGACAAAAGAACACUUAAAGCAACUCAGUGAAAAGGUUGUUUAGAAGCUUAUGUAAUUAAAUUUCCAAGCCACCUAAUAUCCAUCGGAGUGCAGCAAAAUCUGUAAUUAAGAAAUGGAAGGAGUAUGGCACAUGCAUAAAUCUGCCAAUAACAGUCCAUCUUCAACAUCUAUCUGUACACAUCUUUCUUAACGUUAAGCAUGGUGGUGGCAGCAUCAUGACAUGUGGAAACUACCUGGCAGCAAGUCAUGGAAGGCUUGUAAAUGCAGCGGGUAAAAUGAAUGUAGCAAGGUGUUGGGAAAUGCUAUAGGACAAGCUAAAAGUCUGCAAGAGAACUACAGUUUGGGAGAUUUUUUUUCCUGCAAGAAAAUGACUCAAAGCAUACAGCUUAACAUAUACAGAAAUUAUUUAAGACACUAAGGGGCCAAGUCAAAGCCCAGAAGAAAGGUAAAAUUGCUGUGUCCAAAUGUGCCAGACUGAUUGAAACCCAUCCACACAGGCUCAAUGAAUCGACUAAAUACUGAUCUCAGGGGGACAAAUGCUUAUUUUAAUCUCCUUUCUUUUACAUUUCUAUAUUUAUUUAAUUGCCUUUUUCGCCCAGUGGGCCCACCACCCGCAGGGCCAAAAAUUGGAGUCAGAUCCUAUGUACACUGGGCAGUAGGCAAGCUGGCAUCUUGGCGGACCACCACCUGGUGGCGUAGACUGGUUGUGGGGAUGUGGAAUGUCACCUCACUAGUGGGGAAGGAACUUGACCUGGUGGGGGAGGUAGAGUAGUACCAACUAAAUAUAGCUGGGCUCACAUACACGGACAGCAAAGGUUCUGGAACAAAACUCCUGGAGAGGGGUUGGACUCUCCUUUUCUGAGGUGGCCCUCACGGACUGGGGACGUUGUCAGGCAGUGGAAAGAACACUUCGAGGAAUUCUUUAACCCAGCUAGUACAUCCUUUGCUGAGGAGGCAGAGGCUCAAGACUCAUGGGAAUCUUCGCCCAUAUCUGUAGUCGAGGUUGCAGAGGUAGAAGCUCCCAGUGCCAGGUGUGGAUGAGAUCCGCCUUGAGAUGCUAAAGGCUCUGGACAUUGUUGAACUGUCUUGGCUGACACACCUCUUCAGUGUCGCAUGGGCAUCCGGUAUGGUGCCUGUGGAGUGGUGGACUGGGGUGAUGGCUCCCAUUUUUAAAAAGGGGGGGCAGGAGAGUUAUCGGUAUCACACUUCUCAGCCUCCCUUGGAGAGUUUACUCUAGGGUGCUGGAAGGGCGGUUAUGAUUGAUUAUCGAACCGAUUGUCAGUGGCGUGCACAGAUAGACACCAGGUGGUGCUAGAGCACCUGCCACUUGCUCUCAGUAUCAAGCAGGUGCUCUCCGUGUGUCAAGUUUUUUUUUUUUUUUUUUAAAUUUAAACAUUAAACACACACGCCCCGUCUCGCAACAUGAAUACGAGGAGCGGACACAUGCGUGGCAGCAGCUGCACAGCCCAUAUAGACUGUAGCCACCAACCAGGUAACACGUAAAUGAAUCGAGCGUAUUGUUCAUAGGCCUCAGUUGCAACACGGUGCAUUUAUUUGUCUCUGCUGUGAAGUAGCCUGUCUUAUGCAGUGCUAAACAACCGUGUCCAAAUUAGCCAACUGCCCGCCUGCUUAACAAGCUUGAUGCUACCCAUAAUAAUAAUCAAUUAAUCGACACAAUGUGACGACAAUGACCACACAACCAAUGUUAUUUGGUGAACUGGUACAGCAUAGGAUCAGUAUACUAUAACUGAAUAUUAAGUUUGUGUAGGUUUAUUAUUAGCCUACAUUAGGUAGAUGCAACACUUGCUGUGACAUUUGCUAAAUGACAAAAAGAAAAAGUAACUUUCUGCCUUGUAGCCUCAUGUCAGGAAUCAGUCUUGAUAUUGUCAAUCGCUUUUAAAUAUAACAAUAUUAAUAAUGUUAUUUAAUUAAUAUCUCUUUUAAUAUAAUCCAUAUAACAUUGGCUGCCUUAAUAUAACAGUUUGAGUCACACUGUUAUAUUAAGGCAGCAAGUGGUUCUACACAAGGUGCCCUUUUUUUUCCACUGAGCCCCUGCCCUCCAAAAUGUCUGUGCACGAUACUGCCGAUUGUCAUAGCAGUUCGACCAGCCAGUCCACAUGUGUUAUGUGGAUUUUGAAAAGGUCUACAACGGUGUCCCCCAAGGGACUCUGUGGGGAGUAUUGGGUUUACUGAUACAAGCCAGUCCGUCGCUAUACAACUAAAAUGAGAGCUGUGUUUGCAUUCUUGGCAAACACAUUUCUGGUGGGUGUUGGACUUUGUCAGGACUGCCUCUUGUCUCCAAUCUUGUUUGUGGUUAUGACGCUAACCCGUGGUGACGAGGGGAGGAGCUGAGCCGGAAUGCGAAGCUCUUGAUUUACAAGUCAAUCUAGAUUCCUACCCUUAUCUAUGGUCAUGAGCUCGGGGUAGUGGCAGAAAGAAAGAGAUCGUGGGUACAAGUGGUCAAAAUGAGCUUGCUCUGUGGAGUGGCUGGGCUCAGCCUCAGAGAAAGGAUGAGAAGAUCGGACAUCUGGAGGGAGCUUGGAGUAGAGUCCCUGCUCCUUUGCAUCGAAAGGAGCCAAUUGAGAUGGUUUGGACAUCUGAUUCGGAUGACUCUGAGUAGACUUCCUUUGGAGGUUUUCCAAGAACGUCCAUCUGGGAGUAGAAUGGGGUAGACCCAGAACCUGCUGGAGGGAUUAUAUAUCUUUUCUGGCCAGGGAAUGGUUCAGGAUCCCCCAGGAAGAGCUGGAAAGCAUUGUUAGGGGGAGGGAUGUUUGGGAUUACCUGCUUCUUUUGCUCCCUCCACCACCCGAUCCUGGGUAAGUGAAAGAAAACUCAUGGAUGGGUGAAUGGAUUAACUGCCUCUUCUUUGUAGAAAUUUGUUUGACGUGAUAGUCUUUUGACAGAUUCUUGACAAAAAAGCCAAAUUAUAUUGACCUUUAUUCACUGUGGAAAAGCAAUUAAAACAGAAAAACUUCAUAGGGGGUUGAAUACCUUUUACAGGCACUAUAUUCAACAGACAUCACCCUUUGCUCCUGCAUUGAUACACCAAACCCGCUAAUACAGCUAUUAUGACAGCACUUCAACAAAUUAUGUUUGUUUUGAUUUUUUUUUAGUUUUUCCAAAAAUUACAAGUACUGCUUCUACACUGAUAUAUUCAGACUGCUUUCUGUAUGUUGAAGUUUGCCGUGCUGAUAACUGCGCUGCAGUAUGUGCAUAAGUCAUAGACAUAGUAUGACAAUAAGUCGUACUAUGUGUAUGACUUAUUUAUCAACCAUACCGCAUUUUCCGUAAAUUUGCUGGAUUUUGUGGAAAAUUUAAUUUGUUUCUUUAACUUGCAUAAUAAGUCAGGUUGAAGGUGGGAGAGCUGCUGUGUGGUUGGUCCCAGGAUGACGACAGUGAGUCUCCUUUGAUUUCAAAGUGAUGAAGGCUAGGGUCUCUGUCAGGAGAACAAGAAGAAUUUACAUCUGCAAUGAAACAUACUUCCAUACUUUCUAUACUAUUAGGGUGUUCAUCACUGAACUUCAGAAAAGUAGAAACCUUUCAUUGCUCCCAAACUGAUCAGCAACUCAUUUAUUAAAAAGAAACACUAUCUACUAAAUCAGCAAUUGACUUUUUAAAUAAAAACAAAACAAAACAUGGUAUUUUAAAACUUUGAUUGGUUUAGGAAAUGUGGUUUUUUAAAUUUAUAAUUGAAAAUCUUAAAAUAUAAUAAACCUUAGCUGUGACCAAGUAAUAAUCUUCACAUGUGCUCCUCUGCUAUCUAAAGCAUGCAUAUAAGCGCCUGUUAAUUUACAUAGUGUUCAGUAACAUUCUGUGUUACCCACCUGGUAAAGAGGAGGUCAGUUUGAUAUUUCAGGGGGUGGAAGAUAUCAUUGAUGUUAUCAUCUGGGUAUCCCUCUUCUCCCUCACUAAUUAACACACAAAUGUGCACACAAAAAAUUACAAUGUAUUAUACAUUUUUUUAAAUUAUUUUGAGCCAAACUAUUCACAUUAUACAUGCUUCCCUUAGACAAUAUUAUUAGGAAGCACUGUAUUAAUUUCCAUUGUUACACUGACGACACUCAAUUGUAUUUAUCUAUGAAGCCAAAUGAAACUAAUCAGCUAGCUAGAAUGCAAGAUUGUCUUAAGGACAUAAAGACCUGGAUGACCUAUAAUUUCUUACUACUAAAUUCAGACAAGACUGAAGUCAUUGUAUUUGGCCCCAAACAUCUUAGAGAAUUGCUUUCAAAGCAUAUAGUUACUCUGGAUGGCAUUACAUUGGCCUCCAGUACUACUGUGAGGAACCUCGGCGUUAUCUUUGACCAGGACAUGUCCUUUAACUCACACAUAAAACAAAUCUGUAGGACUUCCUUUUUCCACCUGAGAAAUAUUGUGAAAAUCAGGAACAUCCUGUCUCAGAGUGAUGCAGAAAAACUAGUCCAUGCAUUUGUUACUUCUAGGCUUGACUACUGUAAUUCCUUAUUAUCAGGUUGUCCCAAUAGCUCUCUGAAAUAUCUACAGCUGAUCCAAAAUGCUGCAGCCAGAGUACUGACGGGAGUUAGCAAGAGAGAUCAUAUUUCUCCUAUACUGGUUUCUCUUCAUUGGCUUCCUGUUAAAUCUAGAAUAGAAUUCAAAAUCCUUCUUCUGACAUAUAAAGCUCUUAACAACCAAUCUCCAUCAUAUCUUAAAGACCUGAUAGUACCAUAUUAUCCUAGCAGAACUCUUCGCUCUCAGACUGCAGGCUUACUUGUUCCUAGAAUCUCUAAAAGUAGAAUGGGAGGCAGAGCCUUCAGUUAUCAGGCGCCUCUCCUGUGGAACCAGCUCCCAGUUUGGGUUCAGGAGGCGGACACCCUCUCUAUUUUUAAGACCAGGCUUAAAACCUUCCUUUUCGACAAAGCUUAUAGUUAGGGCUGACUGGGGGACCCUGACGGGGUGAGCUGGUGUUUUCAUUUGCACAACUGACUUCCCCUCUUGACGUCCCUUUAUUUUGCCCCUAGUUAUGCUGCUAUAGGCCUAGGCUGCUGGGGAAUCUCUCUUGAUGCACUGAGCCCUUCUCUAACUACCUAUGUAUUUACUAUAUAUACCAUUAUUGCAUUACACUCACUCUGUUUCUCCCUGUGUCCUUUCUCCGAGUGUCCCUGGUCCCAGAGCUGGAUGCUUCAGAUCUGUGGUUGUUCUCCCACCAACUGGCCUAAUCUCCAUCUGUGGGAUGCUGCUGCUGAACUUCCUCCAGCCCACUGCUUCCAGCUGCCCACUUUCACCAAUCUACUCUGCAUUGCCCUUACUAUGCUUGAUUUGCUCAUCUACAUACAUUUACCACAUGCUAUAUAUGUAGUAUAGUUAAUGUCAGAGCUGUACACCAUAGCAGUAAACUAUAAUCAGUUUCCAUGUUAGUUGUACUUUGCAUGUAUCAUCAGUCUUAUCAUGCAUGUAUCAAAUUGUGUUUUAUGUUCCUUGUCCCCCCCUUUACCUCUAUACCUCUACCUCUACCUCUACCUCUCUACCUCUUCUGUCCCUCUCAACCCACCCGGCCAGCAGGCAGAUGGGUCCCCUCACAUAAAGAGCCGGGUUCUGCUCGAGGUUUUUUUCCCUGUUAAAAGGGUGUUUUCCUUGCCACUGUCGCCUUUUGGCUUGCUCUGGGGGUCAGGCAUAUGCGUUCUGUAAAGCGUCUUGAGACAAUUUGACUGUAAUUGGCGCUCUAUAAAUAAAAUCGAAUUGAAUUGAAAUGCCAGGAACACUAAAAUGUAAUGAGUUUUGAGUGACUCAUUCCAUUUUAGGGUUUAGCACCAUUACAUUUUGUGGACACACCGUAACUGCUGUGACAAAUUCAUGAGCCUCCUUUCACAAUUUCAUCUGCCAACUUACACCUAACACUUAGCUCUAAACCUCAACCUGGUGCUAACCUUAUCCCAACAGGACUAAGAGUCUCCUGCCAUACUACCGGCCUAAUCUUAAAGUUGGAGAAGGGGUCUGUCUCCCAAACCUAAAUUGGGAGCUGAUUCCUCAACCGGCAUGUUGCUGGUUUAGAUGAAGCAACUACUGAUGUUAACUCAGAGAGAUAUAUAGCAGGUAAGUAGUCCAAAUAUAACCCUAAUCCCACAGACACCUCCAGGGACGCUGUACCUAACAACAUAGCUGUGAUUUUUUUUCCAACAGUCAAAAUUUUGUUGCAAAGGUCAUGAAGUCCUCACUACUGAGUUCUAAAGGACCAAAAGGCUCCACAGAGCUGUGACUCCUUGUCAACCUGGCUACAGUGCUGAAAGAAGCCUGGGAUGGUUCUUGUUUUUCUCUCUGAGCAAUGAAUAAUAAGCAGUGCUUGUUCUACAGAGAAUUUUUUAUGCAAAUAAACUGUACUUCCAAGAUAAGUGAAAUUUAUCUGAAUUUGUGGAAUGCUGCUGCCUUUCCAAUCUUCUUUAAAUCUAAUCUUCUUUCAGGGUUAGAGCAGAUGAGAAGCUGAUACACUCAAGCCUCCUUAGUUGUAGCUGCUCGGUGCGGACAAGCAAUCAAAUAUGGAGUGACUGAAGGAUUUGGAGAACAGAGAGAUGAAGUCUGAUUGGAGUUGUGUCUUUGGGACGGACAGAUGCAGUUGAUGUAAUUUCUGGAGCGACACCGAUUUCUUUGAAAUCCCUCAAGGGCUGAUGGAAAAGAGGUUCAUGCUGACCGCUCUGCACUCCUACGCUAGACACACACCAACCUGGGUUGCUUAUUAGCCUGCUAGUGUUCACCUCUGGCCCUGCUCCAGGACUGAUAUAGCCACUGCAGAUUCUGCACACCUCACCAGAUUCUGAUUCCCCGUAGCCAGCUAAGUAAUGUAGCCAUUCCACUGCUCCAGGUAUCCUGCGUAUUUCAAGUCUGUUGCCUCAGGGUAAUCAUUCCGCUGCAUUAGCAGGGCUCCAGACUAACAUUUACACUGGUAGCACUGGUUCUACCAAAUUUCUUAGUUGUGUCCACCAGUAAAUGAUUUGGUCAACCCACCCCACUCCCACCCCCUUAUUUUGGUUCAACAUUGCCACAGCUAUUAAUCCACCAUGCAUGCUAAUUAAAUGCUGUUUUUGUAUAACCUAGUUAUGGUGCAUUGACUUUCAAUGAUGCAAGAGUUGAUUUUGUAAAAGGUUUUAAUCUUAAAAUAUAUUCAUCUUGUCACCAGUCCUCUUCCGAUAUCAGUCAUAAACUUGGCACAGGCUAAACAUUUGCUGAACAUCUGCUUAUUGGUGAACAGCACAUUUUACCGAUGUUCCCUAAACGCCUCACAUGCUGGCUACAGUAGACACUGCCAGGCGGCUGCAGUGUAGCAGUUCUGACAAGUGUAUGGCCAAGCAUUUGUUGGAAAACAGUGAAAAGAGCAUUCUACACAGAUUUAGUGAGUGAUUUUUAGCAAUAUGUGCUGUUUUCUAUAAGCAAAGUUUUCUAUGAGCGGACUUUUCUACGAAUGAUUUGCAUUUGAAGUGUCAAUACCAGAGUCAGUCAUGUUUCUAUAGCCAAAACUGUGAUCGCUGUUAAAAUUUGAGCCAUCAAGACUGAAUGUGGGGCUACGUUUUCUUCUUAGCUGGCUCAGUGGAGAUCUCUCUGCCUGCACCACAACACUUUCAUCAGCAGGUGUAUCAGACCUCUCCCUCUGCUCCAGUCUCUUAAUGUUUCCUCACUGUGUUUUCAACAUAGUCAUCUGCUGAUCCUUUCAUCACUGAAACAUGUUAACAAUGAAACUGAGCGUUUUGCACGUCAGGCAUGGAGAGACUAAGAUAAUCUGGAAAUGAUAAAGCUAUUUCCAACCACAAUGACUUACACAGUAGCUACCUGCCGAAGGAAGGGCCACCAGAUCAGCCUGAUGAUCAUCAUUCACUCGCUCAAUGCUACCAUGUGAAAUUUCAGUGGGCACAUGUUCAAAUAAAGGUUGCAUAUGCGACCCUUUCAGUCGCAGUCUGGAGCCUGCUCAGUACCCUGCUUGUUACGCUGUUUAUCUGAGCCUCUUAUCAACCUGUGUAUAGUCAUUACUGCCUGUUAUAUCUGCUGACCUGAUCCUGUUGUCUAGCUUUGCAGCUAGCUUUGGUUAUUUGAAGUAGUCUAAGUUCAUACCUUUAUCUAUUUGUUUGUGAUUUAGUUCCCUUUAGAUUUCCACCUCUGUGUGUAUUAUUUAUUCUUCAAAUUGUCUCUAAUAAAUUCUUUUUACUGGA
Long non-coding RNA from Amphiprion ocellaris (clown anemonefish), 9353 nucleotides. RefSeq lists it as uncharacterized. The transcript has 2 exons. The record is from RefSeq and is a predicted model, not a curated record. Lineage: Eukaryota; Metazoa; Chordata; Actinopteri; Pomacentridae.